CAAAAGAUUUAACAUUUUAUUUAUUUUAUUAAAUUUUAAUUUUAAAAUUAUCCUAAUUGUUAAAAGACAAUUAUUUGUUAAAAAGACGAUAAGACCCUACUGAACUUAACUUCAGUUUAACUGGGGUAGUUAAUAAAUUAAUAUUUUAAUAUUAAUAAAGAUAAAAAUAUCUAAUCAUAUUUAAUAUAUCAAGUUACCAUAGGGAUAACAGCGCAAUAAUAUUUUAAAGCUCUUAUUUAAAAAAUAGAUUACGACCUCGAUGUUGAAUUAAUUACCUAAUUAAAGCAAGAUUUAAAUAAAAAGGAAGUCUGUUCGACUUUUAAAAAAUUACAUGAUUUGAGUUCAGACCGGUGUAAACCAGGUCGGUUUCUAUCUUUUUAUAAUUUUUUACAGUACGAAAGGACCUAAUAAUAUAAUUAUAUUAUUAUAUUAGCAAAUAAGUGCAUUAGAAUUAGAAUCUAAUCAAACUU
RNAcentral lists this ribosomal RNA (470 nucleotides) under Corythalia sp. Baeza. RNAcentral's name for it is "partial 16S ribosomal RNA". The stretch from base 80 to 378 matches the Rfam family "Bacterial large subunit ribosomal RNA", at positions 2074 to 2646 of the family's 2925-position model. Lineage: Eukaryota; Metazoa; Arthropoda; Arachnida; Araneae; Salticidae. The record is from RNAcentral.